This 69-nucleotide transfer RNA is filed under the name Heterocephalus glaber (naked mole-rat). It matches the Rfam family "tRNA". From Rfam's summary of the family: Transfer RNA (tRNA) molecules are approximately 80 nucleotides in length. Their secondary structure includes four short double-helical elements and three loops (D, anti-codon, and T loops). Lineage: Eukaryota; Metazoa; Chordata; Mammalia; Rodentia; Bathyergidae. The record is from Rfam by way of RNAcentral.
AGGGAUGUGGCUCAGCAGCAGAGCACUUGCCUAGCAUGCAUGAAGCCCUGAGUUCAAUCCCCAGCCCUG